GAGAAUGUAAUGCUCGCGACUGCAGGGAUUUCCCCCUCUGCACUGCUGCCCUCGCAGGCUUUAACCCAUCGGUCGCCUCCUCCUCUCCAGCCUUCGGAGUUUUCUUCUUAAUUGUCAUAUCUGAAGAUCAGACGUGAACACCUGGAAACAGGCAGCCAAGCACUCCUGACAAUUUCAGCUUGCACUCUGGAGAGAAAGGAUGCUUUCCAGAGCAAAGUGACAGAUGAAAAGAAGAACUAACAAGCAAGGCAUCCUGAGGAAGACAACCAAGCAGACAGAAAUGUGGAGUGCAAACCACAGGCCGUUUCUGCAGUCCUCACUGAACACAAGAAGUACCAGGAACCUCAUGGGAAAGCAUAUUUCUUAGGAGCUGAACAUACCAACAAAUAUUCUCUGCCGUGAGUUAAACACUCAGCCUUAAAACCUCCAAGGAAAUGUCCCUGGACCUCCUAUAACCACUACUGGGGAUUGCCACACAUAGUCCAUUGCAUCCCUCUGACGGUGACACAGCAACAUCCCCAUCGGAUUAUGUUCAUAUUAUCUGAGGCAUACGUUGAAGUCUCUAAUAUGUGAAUUCAUAUUAAUGAGAUGAUUUACUGACACGUAAGUAACGUAAGCGUUAUGGUCCUGCAUGAGCAGGCUGUGAACAGCUCUGGGGAGACAAUGCUGUCUGCCCCCUUCGUUCUUUCCUCUGGAGGGAUCGGCUCCUUCAGCCAGGUUACCACGCAAACGCGUGUGCCUGGCAUGCAUGGCAAAUGCAUGUGGGCAGGCAAUGACAGAGGUCUUGAGAUUAGCUCCAGAGGGGCUGCAACCUCAGUAAUCCACACCUCUAAUGCAGAGGCAUCUCUCCGGAAAUAUUGCCAGGGCCAUUGAAAGCCUCCGAAACACCUGAAAUAUAAAAAGCUCUGUAGAUUUAACUGUUAGUAAUAGCCACACAAAUCUUUUCUUACCACUUGU
Dromaius novaehollandiae (emu) is the source of this 957-nucleotide long non-coding RNA. RefSeq lists it as uncharacterized. The record is from RefSeq and is a predicted model, not a curated record. Lineage: Eukaryota; Metazoa; Chordata; Aves; Casuariiformes; Dromaiidae. The transcript has 3 exons.